RNAcentral lists this ribosomal RNA (480 nucleotides) under Triticum aestivum (bread wheat). Its description in RNAcentral is "partial small subunit ribosomal RNA". Lineage: Eukaryota; Viridiplantae; Streptophyta; Magnoliopsida; Poales; Poaceae. The record is from RNAcentral.
AUGGGUGUGUCCUAUUUCUCCACAAAUCUUGCAUGCAUAAGGUUUCUUCAUAUCCUUUCCAUAAGGCUUCAACUUCUAGGAUACAAACCGAAACUUUGGCAAAGUCAACUUAAAUUCUUUCCAAGUGGUUACUCCUUGCCAUCCAUUGAUGGUUUGGUACAUUCUCCACCAAGUAGCAUCACCUCUUUCAAAGCACUAAAGAGCAUGCUGGGUCAUAUCCUUUCCAACUAUAGGGUUAUUCUCCAUGUGAUCCUCCAUGUUUUGAAUCCAUUGGUCCGUCUCCAAUUGACUCAUCGGUCUAGAAAAUAUAAGCUCAUCUUCAUUCAUCCUUUAUUGGGUACAUGGGUUUGGGGUGAGAUAAGAGAGAUAGAGAGGGAUACACACAAUACAAACAAAAGUUUUGAAAAGACAUAUUUUAUUUGUGGCUGUCGGGAAAAACAUCAAACAAAUGACAGCUCACAAACAUCGCAUCUAACGUAG